Molecule: transfer RNA, 98 nt
Filed under: Stachybotrys elegans
Lineage: Eukaryota; Fungi; Ascomycota; Sordariomycetes; Hypocreales; Stachybotryaceae
Rfam family: tRNA
About the family: Transfer RNA (tRNA) molecules are approximately 80 nucleotides in length. Their secondary structure includes four short double-helical elements and three loops (D, anti-codon, and T loops).
Source: Rfam by way of RNAcentral
GGUGAGAUGGCCGAGUUGGUUAUGGCGCCAGGUUAAGGUUAUCUUAACACAAUUUCCUGGUGGGGCAACCCUCGUGGGUUCGAAUCCCACUCUCAUCA